This 247-nucleotide ribosomal RNA is filed under the name uncultured bacterium. RNAcentral's name for it is "partial 16S ribosomal RNA". It matches the Rfam family "Bacterial small subunit ribosomal RNA", at positions 15 to 244 of the family's 1533-position model. The record is from RNAcentral.
GAUCAUGGCUCAGGAUGAACGCUGGCGGCGUGCUUAACACAUGCAAGUCGAACGAAGCGCUUGAGAUUGAUUCUUCGGAAGAUUUCUCUUGUGACUUAGUGGCGGACGGGUGAGUAACGCAUGGGUAACCUGCCUCACACAGGGGGAUAACAGUUGGAAACGACCGCUAAUACCGCAUAACCCGCUAGGGCCGCAUGGCCCGGACGGAAAAGAUUUAUCGGUGUGAGAUGGACCCGCGUUGGAUUAG